RNAcentral lists this unclassified non-coding RNA (336 nucleotides) under uncultured fungus. RNAcentral describes it as "partial contains 5.8S ribosomal RNA, internal transcribed spacer 2, and large subunit ribosomal RNA". The record is from RNAcentral. Lineage: Eukaryota; Fungi.
AACGCAUAUUGCGCCCGAAGCUUCGGCCUAGGGCAUGCCUGCCUCAGCGUCGGUUUUGAGCCCCGAGGCGUUCUACCUCACUACGGGGCGAGUUGUUGCUAAUCAAAUACAAUGAUGCGUACCAACCUCUGUGGCAUUUCCGUGGCUGUGUUGUCUUGGGUUUGCUGAAAAUGAGGGCACGAGUAAGGAGCACAUACGCUUCGACUGGACAGGUUCGCAUGGAAAUGCGUAACACGAAGUUGAAGCGCGCGCUUUGCAAGUGCCAUGCAGGAAGCCAUUCAUUUGGCGUCACAAACCUUCGACCUGAGCUCAGGCAAGAUUACCCGCUGAACUUAA